GGAAGGAUCAUUAACACGUUUCCAACGUUUUACUCACCCACUGUGCAUUUUGUUUUCAACAUUGCCCUGAGAUGCGAGCCUCGAACUCCUUUGUGAGCGAGAGUGUCUCGAGUCUGCAGGAUCCCUCUUUAUUAUAGAUCUUUUUCGAAAGAUUUAUAAUAAUUUUUACCUUCACCUUUUUCACCCUUCUCUAAUUUUUGCUAGUUGACUGUUUUCUUCUUGUUCAGUCGUGUGCUUCGGCUCCCUCUGACAAGGACGUUUAAUUGAACGUAAACAAAUACAACUCUUAGCAAUGGAUAUCUUGGUUCUCGCAACGAUGAAGAACGCGGCAAAACGCGAUAUGUAAUGCGAAUUGCAGGACUCAGUGAAUCAUCAAAUCUUUGAACGCAAAUGGCGCUCUUGGGUAGACCUAGGAGCACGCCUCUCUCAGUAUCGGUUCAAACCUCUCUCAGCAGCGUCUUAAAAACACGUGUUGGCUGGUGAAUGAGAGUCCGAGCAGGUCGAGUGUGACACUUUAUGUGUCAACACUUGCAGCAGCGGUCUCUUGAAAGUCAUGGAAUAUUGUGUUUUCCAGUGUGUCAUUGUUUCUCUCUUUGAUAGCGCUAUCGACCGUCUCGAUCGGUGAGUGUCUGUUGACGAGUGACGUUAGGACUGGCCCUUUGUGGUCUCACCCCACGUCAUAUACUCUCAACGACUCACGCAACGAUUAGGACGUCGAGCUAACAAUACACGGGAGUUGCAAGGGGAAAUUAAUUUCCUUCUAUACACACGUCACAAUGUGGUCAGUCGUAGCGAGUAAAGCACCAACGCUACAAUCACAGUGCAAAGAGUCAUAUCUUUCACUGUUUCUUUGAUCUGAGAUGAAGCGAGACAACCCCCUGAAUUUAAGCAUAUUAAUAAGGGGAGGAAAAGAAACUAACAAGGAUUCCCUUAGUAACGGCGAGUGAAGCGGGAGGAGCUCAAUUUGAAAAUCGAUGACCUUAGCGGGUCCUCGAGUUGUAGCCUAGAGACGUACUAUCAGCUGCUGCCCUGGGUAGAAGUUCUUUGGAAUGAGGCAUCACAGAGGGUGAGAAUCCCGUCUAUGACCCAAAGUGCUCAGCGUACGAUGUAUGUUCAACGAGUCGAGUUGUUUGGGAUUGCAGCUCUAAAUGGGUGGUAAGUUUCAUCUAAAGCUCAAUAUUGGCGAGAGACCGAUAGCGAACAAGUACCGUGAGGGAAAGAUGAAAAGAACUUUGAAAAGAGAGUUAAAAGUACUUGAAAUUGCUAAGAGGGAAGCGCUGAUAAGCAGUCGUUUUCUGUCGUUCAUCGUCGUCGCCCUGCUGGUGUGUGCGCGUCGUUGGAAACUCGACGUGUGUACACGAAACGGAGGUCGGCGGUUUAGGACGGCGGAUCAGUCAAGAUACAUUCGAGUGAGAGGAAGAAGGGGAGAGGACAGGUAGGAGAUCCGUCUCUGUUAUAGUCCUCUUCCUCUACCUCGCCUUGGAUGGAGGAAGUGAAGAGUGCGCCGCUUGCGGCUUGAUCCGGCGUGUCCUCCUCAUGUAUGUCUGCUCUGAGUGCAAUGCUCUCUCUGUGGUCUGCGUGAGGCCUGCGCGUCGGCGUCUUAUGUGCUCUCUCGAUCUUGUACCAAAUGCUUAUCAUCGACCCGUCUUGAAACACGGACCAAGGAGUCUAACAUCUAUGCGAGUAUUUGAGUGCAAAACUCCAAUGCGCAAUGAAAGUAAAGGCAGUCUCGUGCUGCUGAGGUAGGCAGCCAGCAAUGGCGGCACUAUCGACCGAUCAUCACUUGUGAAAGAUUUGAGUCAGAGCAUAUCUGUUGGGACCCGAAAGAUGGUGAUCUAUGCUUGAACAGGGUGAAGCCAGGGGAAACUCUGGUGGAGGCUCGUAGCGAUACUGACGUGCAAAUCGUUCGUCUGAUUUGGGUAUAGGGGCGAAAGACUAAUCGAACCAUCUAGUAGCUGGUUCCCUC
This 1966-nucleotide unclassified non-coding RNA is filed under the name uncultured fungus. RNAcentral describes it as "sequence contains 18S rRNA gene, ITS1, 5.8S rRNA gene, ITS2, 28S rRNA gene". The stretch from base 852 to 1966 matches the Rfam family "Eukaryotic large subunit ribosomal RNA", at positions 1 to 961 of the family's 3401-position model. The record is from RNAcentral. Lineage: Eukaryota; Fungi.